This 1109-nucleotide long non-coding RNA is filed under the name Sorghum bicolor (sorghum). Its description in RNAcentral is "long non-coding RNA (SBIC_LNC012796)". The record is from RNAcentral. Lineage: Eukaryota; Viridiplantae; Streptophyta; Magnoliopsida; Poales; Poaceae.
UCCCGUGGCUUCUGGAGUCUUCUAGAUAAUAGAAAAUUGCACGACACGUUAAUAUCUCUAUGUAAACCCGACGUGUGGGCCUUUCUUUCGUAUUUCCUGAUAACCCCCUGCAGAAAUAGACAAACACCAAAACUCGUGGAAUUCUGUCAGAUAAAACCCUAAGUCUGGGUGUUGGUUGCAUUUGGAUCCUUUUCUAUGAUUAGUUGACGGUUAAAUGUGAGCAUUAAGGACCGUCAACAGUACCCCUAAUUCUACUAUCGGACACUUGUCCAUUUUUAUCUCUUGUCUCACUUUUUCUUUUCUUUCGUGGUUCCGGGCACUUGCCCCUUUUUAUUUCCUUGUAUCCUUUAUCUCUUUUUUUCUUUUUUUAGAGCACUCAUCUCCUGAAAUAAUAUAGCAAGUGGUAGUAACCAAGAUAACUCGAGCAUUUAUUUCACAGGGAAAAACAGAAAUAGGAGAAUGUUUUUGGCUAUUCUCUCCCGGAUUAGGAGUAGAAUACUUUUGGGUGGCUCUGGAGAUGGAAAUGAGUGGAUAUAUGUGGAUGCGUACUUCCGGAGUAGAAGCAGCAUGUGUGAGUGAACGUGCAAGUGAAUCUUGAUUUUAACCGCAUGACAAGCUCCUAAUGGUCUACACAGCUUGACCACACUCAAUGCUCAUAAGCAGUAAAAAGUAAAUGUGUGGCUCAAAGUCUAGCAAGCAUGUAUAUAUGGCUGUGGUAGGAAUUUAAACUCUCAUCAUACAGGAACUCAUCAUGUGUUAUUUUAAAGAUUUUCAAAGAUAAAAUUCUCUAGAAUUCUAGCAUCUCUAGGAACAUAUAAACAGCAGCUCAACCUUCCCAUAUCAUAUCCAUUAACAACUUAGACUUCAAAUCAAGUUCUCUUCCCACAAGUUCAGGUUUAGACCAACCUUUAAAUUAUAACAAUUAUGUCUAAACUUGAGAGAGAACUUCAAAUUUGAAAAUUAGGCAGAGCAACUAUUCAUCAUAUCCAUGCUAGAGUUUUAUUAAGAUUCAGUUUAGCAUAGCCACUUUAUUUAUUUAUUAAGCACACUAAGCAAAAGAUAUAUAUAUAUAUAUAUAAGCACAAAAUCUUUAUUUGGUUUUUCAUGGU